Molecule: small RNA, 528 nt
Filed under: Pan troglodytes (chimpanzee)
Lineage: Eukaryota; Metazoa; Chordata; Mammalia; Primates; Hominidae
Description: processed transcript
Source: RNAcentral
AGUGCGUGCGCGGGGCAUGCCGGGAGUGGUUGUGUACGGUCCGCAGCGGCAGGUGAAGCCUAGCAGAGGACGCGGCCAGGCGAUUCGGUGAAGCGAUUCCUGCAGGCGUUGGUUCCCCUCUUUGUCCUGUUAAUAAAUCAUGCUUUGAAAGAACUCAUGGAAAUAGAAGAAGUGAGUGAAAAUGUAUUACAAGUUCACUUAAAUGGACUGCUGCAGAUCAAUGACAAAAUCGCCCUAAAGGAAAUCACAAGGCAGUUAAAUCUGGAAAAUGUAGUUGGAGAUAAAGUUUUUGGAAGCUUUGCUGAAAACCUUUCAUUUCUUCUGGAAGCUUUAAAAAAAGGUGACCGAACUAGCAGUUGCCCAGUGAUCUUCAUAUUAGAUGAAUUUGAUCUUUUUGCUCAUCAUAAAAACCAAACACUUCUCUAUAAUCUUUUUGACAUUUCUCAGUCUGCACAGACCCCAAUAGCAGUUAUUGGUCUUACAUGUAGAUUGGAUAUUUUGGAACUCUUAGAAAAAAGAGUGAAGUCA